Molecule: ribosomal RNA, 569 nt
Filed under: uncultured Enhydrobacter sp.
Lineage: Bacteria; Pseudomonadati; Pseudomonadota; Alphaproteobacteria; Hyphomicrobiales
Description: bacterial SSU rRNA
Rfam family: Bacterial small subunit ribosomal RNA
Source: RNAcentral
CCCGAAGGUUAAAACGUCAAAAUCGAAAUUNUAACGGGGCCCGCGACAAGACGUAGGAGCAUGCGGUUUAAUUCGGAAUUGCAAACGUCGAAGAGGCCUUUAACCUGGGUCCUUUAGAACAAUAAGUGAGAAUACUCUCCAGAAGAUAGAGACGGGUGACCUUCGGGAAACUCACAUACAGGUGCUAGCAUGGCUGUCGUCAGCUCGUGUACGUGAGAUGUUCGGGUUAAAGUUCCCGCAACGAGCGACAACCCUUUUCCUAUUUGCCAGCGGGUUAAGCCGGGAACUUUAAGGAUACUGACCAGUGACAAACUGGAGGAAGGCGGGGACGACGUCAAGUCUAUCAUGGCCCUUAACGACCAAGGGCUACACACGUGCUACAAUGGUAGGUACAGAGGGUUGCUACACAGCGAAUGUGAUGCUAAUCUACAAAAAGCCUAUCGUAAGUCCGGAUUGGAGUCUGCAACUCGACUCCAUGAAGUCGGGAUCGUCUAGUAAUCGCGGAUUCAGAAUCGCCGACGGUGAAUACGUUCCCGGGCCUUGUACACACCGCCCUGUCGACGCGGCCG